Molecule: ribosomal RNA, 374 nt
Filed under: uncultured organism
Description: bacterial SSU rRNA
Rfam family: Bacterial small subunit ribosomal RNA
Source: RNAcentral
CGGGGGGAGCAAGCGUUGUUCGGAUUUACUGGGCGUAAAGGGCGCGUAGGCGGCCAGCGCAAGUCAGUUGUGAAAUCUCCGGGCUUAACUCGGAAAGGUCAACUGAUACUGCGCGGCUAGAGUGCAGAAGGGGCAACUGGAAUUCUCGGUGUAGCGGUGAAAUGCGUAGAUAUCGAGAGGAACACCUGCGGCGAAGGCGGGUUGCUGGGCUGACACUGACGCUGAUGCGCGAAAGCCAGGGGAGCGAACGGGAUUAGAUACCCCGGUAGUCUUGGCCUUAAACGAUGGAUGCUUGGUGUCUGGAGUUUUAUAGUCUCCGGGUGCCGCAGCUAACGCGUUAAGCAUCCCGCCUGGGGAGUACGGUCGCAAGACUG